RNAcentral lists this ribosomal RNA (244 nucleotides) under Metarhizium anisopliae. Its description in RNAcentral is "partial large subunit ribosomal RNA". It matches the Rfam family "Eukaryotic large subunit ribosomal RNA", at positions 679 to 925 of the family's 3401-position model. Lineage: Eukaryota; Fungi; Ascomycota; Sordariomycetes; Hypocreales; Clavicipitaceae. The record is from RNAcentral.
UUCGUAUGCGAGUGUUCGGGUGUUAAACCCCUACGCGUAAUGAAAGUGAACGCAGGUGAGAGCCCUCCAGGGCGCAUCAUCGACCGAUCCUGAUGUUCUCGGAUGGAUUUGAGUAAGAGCAUACGGGGCCGGACCCGAAAGAAGGUGAACUAUGCCUGUAUAGGGUGAAGCCAGAGGAAACUCUGGUGGAGGCUCGCAGCGGUUCUGACGUGCAAAUCGAUCGUCAAAUAUGGGCAUGGGGGCG